GGGUUGUGAGGUUAAGCGACUAAGCGUACACGGUGGAUGCCCUGGCAGUCAGAGGCGAUGAAGGACGUGCUAAUCUGCGAAAAGCGCCGGCGAGGUGAUAUGAACCCUUGACCCGGCGAUGUCCGAAUGGGGAAACCCAGUGCAAUCCGUUGCACUAUCGUUAACUGAAUACAUAGGUUAACGAGGCGAACCGGGGGAACUGAAACAUCUAAGUACCCCGAGGAAAAGAAAUCAACCGAGAUUCCCCCAGUAGCGGCGAGCGAACGGGGAGCAGCCCAGAGUCUGAAUCAGCUUGUGUGUUAGUGGAAGCGUCUGGAAAGUCGCACGGUACAGGGUGAAAGUCCCGUACACGAAAAUGCACAGGCUGUGAACUCGAAGAGUAGGGCGGGACACGUGGUAUCCUGUCUGAAUAUGGGGGGACCAUCCUCCAAGGCUAAAUACUCCUGACUGACCGAUAGUGAACCAGUACCGUGAGGGAAAGGCGAAAA
This 488-nucleotide ribosomal RNA is filed under the name Enterobacter cloacae. Its description in RNAcentral is "bacterial LSU rRNA". It matches the Rfam family "Bacterial large subunit ribosomal RNA", at positions 1 to 520 of the family's 2925-position model. Lineage: Bacteria; Pseudomonadati; Pseudomonadota; Gammaproteobacteria; Enterobacterales; Enterobacteriaceae. The record is from RNAcentral.